RNAcentral lists this ribosomal RNA (476 nucleotides) under uncultured organism. RNAcentral's name for it is "partial 16S ribosomal RNA". It matches the Rfam family "Bacterial small subunit ribosomal RNA", at positions 331 to 798 of the family's 1533-position model. The record is from RNAcentral.
GUACACUCCUACGGGAGGCAGCAGUGGGGAAUAUUGCACAAUGGGCGCAAGCCUGAUGCAGCCAUGCCGCGUGUAUGAAGAAGGCCUUCGGGUUGUAAAGUACUUUCAGCGGGGAGGAAGGCGAUAAGGUUAAUAACCUUGUUGAUUGACGUUACCCGCAGAAGAAGCACCGGCUAACUCCGUGCCAGCAGCCGCGGUAAUACGGAGGGUGCAAGCGUUAAUCGGAAUUACUGGGCGUAAAGCGCACGCAGGCGGUCUGUCAAGUCGGAUGUGAAAUCCCCGGGCUCAACCUGGGAACUGCAUUCGAAACUGGCAGGCUAGAGUCUUGUAGAGGGGGGUAGAAUUCCAGGUGUAGCGGUGAAAUGCGUAGAGAUCUGGAGGAAUACCGGUGGCGAAGGCGGCCCCCUGGACAAAGACUGACGCUCAGGUGCGAAAGCGUGGGGAGCAAACAGGAUUAGAAACCCGAGUAGUCCCAU